RNAcentral lists this long non-coding RNA (461 nucleotides) under Neogobius melanostomus (round goby). RNAcentral describes it as "lncRNA (ENSNMLG00000013711.1)". The record is from RNAcentral. Lineage: Eukaryota; Metazoa; Chordata; Actinopteri; Gobiiformes; Gobiidae.
ACGAAGUUAAAAAUAUGGACCCUGGGAUAGAAGAAAUGAAUACGAAGAAGGAGCCUCCAGGUCACAGCGGGACAUCACAAAAAAGAGAAGCAUCUCCUAUUCCCAGCUGUGAGUCUCUGAAGAGUAACUGGUCCAAGCUGGAUCCUCCAAACUUUAGCAUUGAGCCUGUGCCUUCAGAAACACUAAAAAAAGCAGCAUCUCCUGUUCCCAGCUGUGUGUCUCUGAAGAGUAACUGGUCCAAGCUGGAUCCUCCAGACUUUAGCAAUGAGCCUGGACCUCCAGAAACACAAGAGAGAAGACUGCUUGAAGAUGAUGAUUCAGAAGUGGUUCAUGAACUCUGUCCUUUAUGUAAGAACAAAGGGAGUGAUCCUGUCUGGACCAACUGUGGUCAUUGGUUCAAUAGACCUUAUGUCAUAAUAGUGCCAGUGUUCACUAGUGUUCACACUAGUGAUGGGUCGGUC